This 559-nucleotide long non-coding RNA is filed under the name Pongo abelii (Sumatran orangutan). RNAcentral's name for it is "lincRNA". The record is from RNAcentral. Lineage: Eukaryota; Metazoa; Chordata; Mammalia; Primates; Hominidae.
AAAGCAUUCACCAUCUAGAGAGACACAGAGAUGAGGAGCCCAAGGGAUGAAACUGGAGAGGGUCAGCCUAAGGAGCAGGAAGCAGCAGUGCAGGGAGUAAAGAGUACUGGAUUUAGAGUCAGACACCCAGGUUCAAGUUCUAGUUUGCAGUUCAUAGAAGCAGUCUUCCCAGCUUGAUUUUAUUCACAGAAGAAAAAGGCACCCCUGGGAAGUGCCUGACAAAACCUUGAAGAGAGAAGAAGCUCUGCUGUGGUUUGAAUGCAUCCCCCAAAGUUCAUGUGUUGGAAACUUGAUCCCCAAUGCAGCAGUAUUGGGAGGAUGCCUUUUGCCAUGUUAUGAUCCUGCAGGAAGACCCUCACCAGAUAUGGCUCCUUGAUCUUGGACUUCCCAGCCUCCAGAAUUGUGAGAAAUAAAUUUCUGUUUUUAAUAAAGUUCCCAGUUUGUUGCAUUCUGUUAUAGCUGCACAAAGCAGACUGAGACAGGCUCCUUUACUCAUGGUGAAGAAGGUAAGUCCCUUAUGACUUUAUCAAAUAAAAAUAAUGACUACAGGUAAAGGGCU